CCUACGGGGGGCUGCAGUGAGGAAUAUUGCGCAAUGGGGGCAACCCUGACGCAGCAACGCCGCGUGAGUGAGGAAGGUUUUCGGACCGUAAAGCUCUGUCGAGCGGGAAGAAAUGCAUAGUGGCUAAUAUCCAUUAUGCUUGACGGUACCGCUAAAGGAAGCACCGGCUAACUCCGUGCCAGCAGCCGCGGUAAUACGGGGGGUGCUAGCGUUGUUCGGAAUCAUUGGGCGUAAAGAGCGUGUAGGCGGCUGGAUAAGUCAGAUGUGAAAGCCCUGGGCUUAACCCAGGAAGUGCAUUUGAAACUGUUCAGCUUGAGUAAGGGAGAGGAAAGUGGAAUUCCUGGUGUAGAGGUGAAAUUCGUAGAUAUCAGGAGGAACACCGGUGGCGAAGGCGACUUUCUGGCCCUAUACUGACGCUGAGACGCGAGAGCGUGGGUAGCAAACAGGAUUAGAUACCCCAGUAGUC
This 466-nucleotide ribosomal RNA is filed under the name uncultured Smithella sp. RNAcentral describes it as "bacterial SSU rRNA". It matches the Rfam family "Bacterial small subunit ribosomal RNA", at positions 338 to 795 of the family's 1533-position model. The record is from RNAcentral. Lineage: Bacteria; Pseudomonadati; Thermodesulfobacteriota; Syntrophia; Syntrophales; Smithellaceae.